This is an RNA transcript of Homo sapiens (human), 1074 nucleotides long. It is a transcript of the gene named vomeronasal 1 receptor 5 (gene/pseudogene), transcript variant non-coding, with no coding region annotated. NCBI's taxonomy places the organism in Eukaryota, Metazoa, Chordata, Mammalia, Primates, Hominidae. The transcript has a single exon. The record is from RefSeq and is marked validated.
AUGUUGAAAUUGGUUAUUAUUGAGAACAUGGCAGAAAUUAUGCUAUUCUCAUUAGAUCUCUUGCUUUUCUCCACAGAUAUCCUUUGCUUUAAUUUUCCUUCUAAGAUGAUCAAACUUCCUGGUUUUAUUACCAUAUAAAUCUUCUUUUAUCCACAAGCCAGCUUUGGAAUUUCAGCAAACACCAUCCUUCUUCUUUUCCACAUCUUCACCUUUGUUUUCAGUCACAGGUCUAAGUCCAUUGACAUGAUAAUUAGUCACCUGUCUCUCAUCCACAUACUGCUGCUCUUCACCCAGGCAAUAUUGGUGUCCUUAGACUUCUUUGGUUCACAGAAUACUCAGGAUGAUCUUAGGUAUAAGGUCAUUGUCUUUUUAAACAAGGUGAUGAGGGGCCUCUCCAUCUGCACCCCCUGCCUCCUGAGUGUGCUCCAGGCCAUCAUCAGCCCCAGCAUCUUCUCCUUGGCAAAGCUCAAACAUCCUUCUGCAAGUCACAUCUUAGGAUUCUUCCUUUUCUCAUGGGUCCUCAACAUGUUCAUUGGUGUAAUCUUCUGCUGUACACUGCGGCUACCCCCAGUGAAACGGGGCCAGUCUUCUGUUUGUCAUACAGCACUGUUCCUUUUUGCCCAUGAGCUACACCCACAGGAGACUGUUUUUCACACUAAUGACUUUGAGGGAUGUCACCUUUAUAGGGUUCAUGGUCCUCUCAAGAGGCUACAUGGUGAUUAUUUUAUACAGACAAUAAGAGGCUAUCUCAGUGCCUUCACACAGCCAGCCUGUCCCCGAGUCUCACCAGUGAAAAGAGCCUCCCAGGCUAUCUUACUGCUGGUGAGUUUUGUCUUCACAUACUGGGUGGACUUUACGUUCUCAUUUUCAGGAGGUGUGACAUGGAUAAAUGAUUCUCUGCUAGUGUGGCUCCAGGUUAUUGUGGCCAAUAGCUAUGCCGCAAUUAGUCCUUUGAUGCUAAUUUAUGCUGAUAACCAAAUAUUCAAGACUCUGCAAAUGUUAUGGUUUAAAUAUUUGUCUCCUCCAAAGCUCAUGUUGAAAUUUAAUCGCCAAUGUGGCAGUACUAAGAAGUGA